This 492-nucleotide long non-coding RNA is filed under the name Apteryx haastii (Great spotted kiwi). RNAcentral's name for it is "lncRNA (ENSAHAG00000006387.1)". The record is from RNAcentral. Lineage: Eukaryota; Metazoa; Chordata; Aves; Apterygiformes; Apterygidae.
ACCGCUGUGUCGCUUCGCUGCCUCGCCAAAUGAGUGACCACUGUGGAUGUUCGCUGUCUCACAAACAAGGAGACUGCCUAAUCUGUGCACUGCCUGGCGAACAAGCAAACCGCUUCGUCUCUUCGCUGCCUGGAGAGGAAGCAGACCACUGGUUCUCUUCGCUCUCUCGCAAAAGAGCACAUCACUGCAUCUAUUCGCCUACUCACAAAACAGCACACGACCGUGGCUCUUCCCUACCUCGCAAACAAGCAAGCUGCUCUAUGUGUUCGCUGCCUCGCCAACUAACUAACUGCUGCGUCUCUUYGCUCCCUCGCAAACUAACUGACCUCAGYGUCUCUUYGCUGCCUCGCACACUAACUUACGACUACGUCUGUGCCUUGCCUUGCAAACUAAGGAACCGCUGCGUCUCUUCCCCUCCUCGCCAACAAGCAACCCGCUGUGUCUCUUGGCUGCCGCGUGCUAAAGCAAACCAUGGCGCCGCUACGCCACCUC